RNAcentral lists this transfer RNA (80 nucleotides) under Marinobacter sp. Its description in RNAcentral is "tRNA-OTHER". It matches the Rfam family "tRNA". Rfam says of the family: Transfer RNA (tRNA) molecules are approximately 80 nucleotides in length. Lineage: Bacteria; Pseudomonadati; Pseudomonadota; Gammaproteobacteria; Pseudomonadales; Marinobacteraceae. RNAcentral also lists the same sequence under 1 other name. The record is from RNAcentral.
GGUGAAGUAGCUCAGUCCGGCAGAGCACAGGGGAACGUCGAGAGGCGCCCUGGUCGCUGGUUCGACUCCAGCCUUCACCC